Molecule: ribosomal RNA, 273 nt
Filed under: Lepidotrigona ventralis
Lineage: Eukaryota; Metazoa; Arthropoda; Insecta; Hymenoptera; Apidae
Description: partial large subunit ribosomal RNA
Source: RNAcentral
CCUAUAGAAUUUUAUAUUAACUUUACCUAGCGGUUAAUGCUGGUUUUUUGUUAAUAUUUGGUUGGGAGGAUUAUUAAAUUUAACAAACUUUAUAUCAUUAUAAACUUUGAUUUAAGAAAAUAUAAUGACCUUCAAUUUGAAAUAGUUAGAGUAAAUUACCUUAGGGAUAACAGCGUAAUAUUUUUUUAUAGACCUUAUAGAAAAAAAUGGUUGCGACCUCGAUGUUGAAUUAAGAUAAAUUUUAAAUGCAGGAGUUUAAUAAUUAAGUCUGUU